GUACGUUAUGGUCCUCAGAUGAUGGAACAUGUCAGUAUGCCACUCUGCUAAAGAGCUAUUGGCAGUUGAAGGCUGCUGGGAGAGAAGAGCCAUUUUCUCCAAGAAUGUUGCCCCUGCUGUCUUCUGAACUCUCCCAUCACGCAGCAGAAGCUCUCCAGUGUGCAUCACAGCCACCCUCUGGUGAGCAUGCGCGAGGCCAGCUUUCCUUUUCAGAAGGCAGUGCCUGUCUGGAGAGGUCCCUCUUCACCUGUCCCAGUAGAUGGCAUUCAGAGAGAGGGAAGGAACAAGGGCUAUUGCCAGGAAUAGAGCAAAGACGAAGGCACCCAAUGUAGGGCACCCCUGGAGCCUACAAACGUGCUGUGUACCAGAAAGAAUCAGCCUCCCACCAGCAGUCAUGGUGACAGUCAGGACCUGCCUGGGAAGUCAUCCAGGACCCAAGAAGCAGCAUUGGACUUAGCACAGAACAAAAAAUAAUAAUUGCUUUUUGCUUGUACUGUAUUGGGUCCAACUCAGUUAAUAAAGCAGAGACUCAGUAAUAAG
This 540-nucleotide long non-coding RNA is filed under the name Mus musculus (house mouse). RNAcentral's name for it is "predicted gene, 34647 (Gm34647)". The record is from RNAcentral. Lineage: Eukaryota; Metazoa; Chordata; Mammalia; Rodentia; Muridae.